Molecule: transfer RNA, 76 nt
Filed under: Thermotogota bacterium
Lineage: Bacteria; Thermotogati; Thermotogota
Description: Thermotogae bacterium (oil production facility metagenome) tRNA-Pro
Rfam family: tRNA
About the family: Transfer RNA (tRNA) molecules are approximately 80 nucleotides in length. Their secondary structure includes four short double-helical elements and three loops (D, anti-codon, and T loops). Further hydrogen bonds mediate the characteristic L-shaped molecular structure. tRNAs have two regions of fundamental functional importance: the anti-codon, which is responsible for specific mRNA codon recognition, and the 3' end, to which the tRNAs corresponding amino acid is attached (by aminoacyl-tRNA synthetases). tRNAs cope with the degeneracy of the genetic code in two manners: having more than one tRNA (with a specific anti-codon) for a particular amino acid; and 'wobble' base-pairing, i.e. permitting non-standard base-pairing at the 3rd anti-codon position.
Source: RNAcentral
CAGGGCGUAGUUCAGAUGGGAGAACGCCGGAAUCGGGGUCCGGAGGUCGAGGGUUCAAGUCCCUCCGCCCUGACCA